CUGUCUAGUUAAAACAAAUCAUUGCAAUGGCCACUUGUCGGUGUUGACGCAAUGUGAUUUCUGCCCAGUGCUCUAAUUGUCAACGUGAAUCUGAUUGCCGACGUGAAGAUAUUCAUCAAAUCGCGGGUAAACGGCGGGAGUAACUAUGACUCUCUUGUCGUGUCGGAGAGGAGUCGUACCUACUCGCGAAAGAAGAGGUAGA
This 202-nucleotide ribosomal RNA is filed under the name Ixodes scapularis (black-legged tick). RNAcentral describes it as "eukaryotic large subunit ribosomal RNA". It matches the Rfam family "Eukaryotic large subunit ribosomal RNA", at positions 2138 to 2283 of the family's 3401-position model. Lineage: Eukaryota; Metazoa; Arthropoda; Arachnida; Ixodida; Ixodidae. The record is from RNAcentral.